UAUUGCACUGUUUUGCUUUGA
This 21-nucleotide microRNA is filed under the name Branchiostoma belcheri (Belcher's lancelet). RNAcentral describes it as "bbe-miR-2059-5p". Lineage: Eukaryota; Metazoa; Chordata; Leptocardii; Amphioxiformes; Branchiostomatidae. The record is from miRBase by way of RNAcentral.